Molecule: ribosomal RNA, 399 nt
Filed under: uncultured bacterium
Lineage: Bacteria
Description: partial 16S ribosomal RNA
Rfam family: Bacterial small subunit ribosomal RNA
Source: RNAcentral
AAUAUUGGACAAUGGGGGCAACCCUGAUCCAGCCAUGCCGCGUGAGUGAUGAAGGCCCUAGGGUUGUAAAGCUCUUUCGGCGGGGACGAUAAUGACGGUACCCGCAGAGGAAGCCCCGGCUAACUUCGUGCCAGCAGCCGCGGUAAUACGAAGGGGGCUAGCGUUGCUCGGAAUCACUGGGCGUAAAGCGCACGUAGGCGGAUCUUUAAGUCAGAGGUGAAAUCCCAAGGCUCAACCUUGGAACUGCCUUUGAUACUGGGGAUCUCGAGUCCGGAAGAGGUUGGUGGAACUCCGAGUGUAGAGGUGAAAUUCGUAGAUAUUCGGAAGAACACCAGUGGCGAAGGCGGCCAACUGGUCCGGUACUGACGCUGAGGUGCGAAAGCGUGGGGAGCAAACAGG